Molecule: ribosomal RNA, 705 nt
Filed under: uncultured bacterium
Lineage: Bacteria
Description: bacterial SSU rRNA
Rfam family: Bacterial small subunit ribosomal RNA
Source: RNAcentral
AGAGUUUGAUCCUGGCUCAGAAUCAACGCUGGCGGCGUGCCUAACACAUGCAAGUCGCACGAGAAAGGGGAGCAAUCCCUGAGUAUAGUGGCGCACGGGUGAGUAACACGUGACUAACCUACCCUCGAGUGGGGAAUAACCUAGGGAAACCUGGGCUAAUACCGCAUAACACUUACGAGUCAAAGCAGCAAUGCGCUUGGGGAGGGGGUCGCGGCCGAUUAGCUAGUUGGCGGGGUAAUGGCCCACCAAGGCAAUGAUCGGUAUCCGGCCUGAGAGGGCGCACGGACACACUGGAACUGAAACACGGUCCAGACUCCUACGGGAGGCAGCAGUGGGGAAUUUUGCGCAAUGGGGGAAACCCUGACGCAGCAACGCCGCGUGGAGGAUGAAGUACUUCGGUACGUAAACUCCUUUCGAUCGGGACGAUAAUGACGGUACCGGAAGAAGAAGCCCCGGCUAACUUCGUGCCAGCAGCCGCGGUAAUACGAGGGGGGCAAGCGUUGUUCGGAAUUAUUGGGCGUAAAGGGUGCGUAGGCGGUUUGGUAAGUCUUGUGUGAAAUCUACAGGCUCAACUUGUAGACUGCACGAGAAACUGCCGGGCUUGAGUGUGGGAGAGGUGAGUGGAAUUUCCGGUGUAGCGGUGAAAUGCGUAGAUAUCGGAAGGAACACCUGUGGCGAAAGCGGCUCACUGGACCACAACUGACG